Molecule: ribosomal RNA, 2773 nt
Filed under: Escherichia coli
Lineage: Bacteria; Pseudomonadati; Pseudomonadota; Gammaproteobacteria; Enterobacterales; Enterobacteriaceae
Description: bacterial LSU rRNA
Source: RNAcentral
AGCGUACACGGUGGAUGCCCUGGCAGUCAGAGGCGAUGAAGGACGUGCUAAUCUGCGAUAAGCGUCGGUAAGGUGAUAUGAACCGUUAUAACCGGCGAUUUCCGAAUGGGGAAACCCAGUGUGWUUCGWYACACUAUCAUUAACUGAAUCCAUAGGUUAAUGAGGCGAACCGGGGGAACUGAAACAUCUAAGUACCCCGAGGAAAAGAAAUCAACCGAGAUUCCCCCAGUAGCGGCGAGCGAACGGGGAGSAGCCCAGAGCCUGAAUCAGUGUGUGUGUUAGUGGAAGCGUCUGGAAAGGCGCGCGAUACAGGGUGACAGCCCCGUACACAAAAAURCACAUAYUGUGAGCUCGAUGAGUAGGGCGGGACACGUGGUAUCCUGUCUGAAUAUGGGGGGACCAUCCUCCAAGGCUAAAUACUCCUGACUGACCGAUAGUGAACCAGUACCGUGAGGGAAAGGCGAAAAGAACCCCGGCGAGGGGAGUGAAAAAGAACCUGAAACCGUGUACGUACAAGCAGUGGGAGCACGCUUAGGCGUGUGACUGCGUACCUUUUGUAUAAUGGGUCAGCGACUUAUAUUCUGUAGCAAGGUUAACCGAAUAGGGGAGCCGAAGGGAAACCGAGUCUUAACUGGGCGUUAAGUUGCAGGGUAUAGACCCGAAACCCGGUGAUCUAGCCAUGGGCAGGUUGAAGGUUGGGUAACACUAACUGGAGGACCGAACCGACUAAUGUUGAAAAAUUAGCGGAUGACUUGUGGCUGGGGGUGAAAGGCCAAUCAAACCGGGAGAUAGCUGGUUCUCCCCGAAAGCUAUUUAGGUAGCGCCUCGUGAAUUCAUCUCCGGGGGUAGAGCACUGUUUCGGCAAGGGGGUCAUCCCGACUUACCAACCCGAUGCAAACUGCGAAUACCGGAGAAUGUUAUCACGGGAGACACACGGCGGGUGCUAACGUCCGUCGUGAAGAGGGAAACAACCCAGACCGCCAGCUAAGGUCCCAAAGUCAUGGUUAAGUGGGAAACGAUGUGGGAAGGCCCAGACAGCCAGGAUGUUGGCUUAGAAGCAGCCAUCAUUUAAAGAAAGCGUAAUAGCUCACUGGUCGAGUCGGCCUGCGCGGAAGAUGUAACGGGGCUAAACCAUGCACCGAAGCUGCGGCAGCGACGCUUAUGCGUUGUUGGGUAGGGGAGCGUUCUGUAAGCCUGCGAAGGUGUGCUGUGAGGCAUGCUGGAGGUAUCAGAAGUGCGAAUGCUGACAUAAGUAACGAUAAAGCGGGUGAAAAGCCCGCUCGCCGGAAGACCAAGGGUUCCUGUCCAACGUUAAUCGGGGCAGGGUGAGUCGACCCCUAAGGCGAGGCCGAAAGGCGUAGUCGAUGGGAAACAGGUUAAUAUUCCUGUACUUGGUGUUACUGCGAAGGGGGGACGGAGAAGGCUAUGUUGGCCGGGCGACGGUUGUCCCGGUUUAAGCGUGUAGGCUGGUUUUCCAGGCAAAUCCGGAAAAUCAAGGCUGAGGCGUGAUGACGAGGCACUACGGUGCUGAAGCAACAAAUGCCCUGCUUCCAGGAAAAGCCUCUAAGCAUCAGGUAACAUCAAAUCGUACCCCAAACCGACACAGGUGGUCAGGUAGAGAAUACCAAGGCGCUUGAGAGAACUCGGGUGAAGGAACUAGGCAAAAUGGUGCCGUAACUUCGGGAGAAGGCACGCUGAUAUGUAGGUGAGGUCCCUCGCGGAUGGAGCUGAAAUCAGUCGAAGAUACCAGCUGGCUGCAACUGUUUAUUAAAAACACAGCACUGUGCAAACACGAAAGUGGACGUAUACGGUGUGACGCCUGCCCGGUGCCGGAAGGUUAAUUGAUGGGGUUAGCGCAAGCGAAGCUCUUGAUCGAAGCCCCGGUAAACGGCGGCCGUAACUAUAACGGUCCUAAGGUAGCGAAAUUCCUUGUCGGGUAAGUUCCGACCUGCACGAAUGGCGUAAUGAUGGCCAGGCUGUCUCCACCCGAGACUCAGUGAAAUUGAACUCGCUGUGAAGAUGCAGUGUACCCGCGGCAAGACGGAAAGACCCCGUGAACCUUUACUAUAGCUUGACACUGAACAUUGAGCCUUGAUGUGUAGGAUAGGUGGGAGGCUUWGAAGUGUGGACGCCAGUCUGCAUGGAGCCGACCUUGAAAUACCACCCUUUAAUGUUUGAUGUUCUAACGUUGACCCGUAAUCCGGGUUGCRGACAGUGUCUGGUGGGUAGUUUGACUGGGGCGGUCUCCUCCUAAAGAGUAACGGAGGAGCACGAAGGUUGGCUAAUCCUGGUCGGACAUCAGGAGGUUAGUGCAAUGGCAUAAGCCAGCUUGACUGCGAGCGUGACGGCGCGAGCAGGUGCGAAAGCAGGUCAUAGUGAUCCGGUGGUUCUGAAUGGAAGGGCCAUCGCUCAACGGAUAAAAGGUACUCCGGGGAUAACAGGCUGAUACCGCCCAAGAGUUCAUAUCGACGGCGGUGUUUGGCACCUCGAUGUCGGCUCAUCACAUCCUGGGGCUGAAGUAGGUCCCAAGGGUAUGGCUGUUCGCCAUUUAAAGUGGUACGCGAGCUGGGUUUAGAACGUCGUGAGACAGUUCGGUCCCUAUCUGCCGUGGGCGCUGGAGAACUGAGGGGGGCUGCUCCUAGUACGAGAGGACCGGAGUGGACGCAUCACUGGUGUUCGGGUUGUCAUGCCAAUGGCACUGCCCGGUAGCUAAAUGCGGAAGAGAUAAGUGCUGAAAGCAUCUAAGCACGAAACUUGCCCCGAGAUGAGUUCU